AUGAUUUUAGGCGUCGAGUUUUGCGAAUGCGUCGCCUUCUUUGCAAUCGCGUCCAACUUGGUGACCUACCUCACCACGGUGCUCCACGAAAGCAAGGUCGCCGCCGCGCGGGAUGUCUCUGCCUGGGUUGGCGCAUGCUUCCUCGCGCCACUUAUUGGGGCCUUCUUGGCUGACACAUAUCUGGGAAGAUACUGGACGAUGGUUGUUUCCCUUCCGGUCUACACCAUUGGGAUGCUCGUGCUCACGGUCUCAGCAUCAGUCCCGACAUCCUACUACCAUGGUGAUGUUCAUCAUGCUGUGGUGGUGUACCUAGGACUUUAUCUUGCCGGGCUUGGGAGCGCUGGCAUCAAACCCUGCGCGUCGGCCUUCGGUGCCGACCAGUUCGACAGCGGGGACCUGACAGAGCUGGAGAAGAAGGGCUCCUUCUUCAACUGGUACUACUUCCUGCUCAAUCUCGGCUCCCUUCUGUCGAGCACACUGCUUGUUUGGCUGCAGGACAAUGGUUGGUGGGGGCUUAGUUUCGCGAUCCCAACGGUGCUCAUGGCCUUGGGCCUAGCAGUGUUUGUUGGUGGCUCCAGAGUGUACAGGUUCAGGAAACUGAGAGCAAGCCCAUUCACGAGCAUCUGUCAGGUGCUCGUUGCGGCCAUCAGGAAGUGGCAUGUGCAACUGCCAGAUGAUAUAUCGUCCUUGUACGAGCCGACCAGUUCGUCAUCAGCACCUGAAUCAAGUCACAAUAUUCAGCAUACGAAUCAAUUCAGGUUUCUAGACAAGGCUGCCGCGGUGCUGCCCCCGUUAGACAAGACAUGCACGGCGUUGCCGAUGUGUUCAUGGAGUUUCUGCACAGUGACCCAAGUUGAGGAGCUGAAGAUACUGCUACGGAUGUUACCCGUCUGGGCGUCGUUCGUGAUCUUCUACUCAGUCGCUGGGCAGAGCGCAUCGACAUUUAUCGAGCAGGGGAUGGUCAUGGACAACCACGUCGGCCAGUUCGCAAUCCCACCUGCCUCCCUCUCUAUUGUCAGCGUGUUCAGCGUCCUUAUUGGGGUUUUCAUCUACGAAUCCGUGCUAGUGCCACUCGUGCGGCGUUAUACCGGCAAGGCGAAGGGCUUCUCGCAGACGCAGCGCCUAGGAAUUGGCUUUGCACUGUCCAUGCUGACCAUGGUGUACUCAGCAAUGCUUGAGAUGAAAAGGCUGGCCAUCGCGCAAGCCAGUGGCCUGGCAGACCAGAAUGUGCCUGUGCCAGUGAGCAUUCUGUGGCAAGUUCCUGCAUAUGUCAGCAAUGCUUGA
RNAcentral lists this ribosomal RNA (1284 nucleotides) under Triticum aestivum (bread wheat). RNAcentral's name for it is "partial small subunit ribosomal RNA". Lineage: Eukaryota; Viridiplantae; Streptophyta; Magnoliopsida; Poales; Poaceae. The record is from RNAcentral.